This 66-nucleotide transfer RNA is filed under the name Cavitermes tuberosus. RNAcentral's name for it is "tRNA-Ala". RNAcentral also lists the same sequence under 2 other names. Lineage: Eukaryota; Metazoa; Arthropoda; Insecta; Blattodea; Termitidae. The record is from RNAcentral.
GGGACUAUAGUUAAUAAUAACAUUUGAGUUGCAUUCAAAAAGUACUGCCUAUAACAGUUAGCCUCA